UUCUUUCCUUCUUCCACUCUUCUUCUUUCGUUCUUCCACUCUUCUUUCCUUCUUCCACUCUCCUUUCCUUUCUUCUUUCCUUCUUCCACUCUUCUUUCCUUCUUCUACUCUUCUUUUCUUUCUUCACUCUUCUUUCCUUCUUCCACUCUUCUUUCCUUCUUCUACUCUUCUUUUCUUUCUUCACUCUUCUUUCCUUCUUCUUUCUUUUCUUCUUUCCUUUCUUCACUCUUCUUUCCUUUCUUCUUUCCUUCUUCCACUCUUCUUUCCUUCUUCUACUCUUCUUUUCUUUCUUCACUCUUCUUUCCUUCUUCCACUCUUCUUUCCUUCUUCUACUCUUCUUUUCUUUCUUCACUCUUCUUCCACUCUUCUUUCCUUUCUUCUUUCCUUCUUCCACUCUUCUUUCCUUCUUUCUUUUCUUCUUUCCUUCUUCCACUCUUCUUCCACUCUUCUUUCCUUCUUUCACUCUUCUUUCUUUUCUUCUUUCCUUCUUCCACUCUUUUUUCCUUCUUUCACUCUUCUUUCCUUCUUUCACUUUUCUUUUUUUUUCUUCUUUCCUUCUUCCACUUUUCUUUCUUCACUCUUCUUUCUUUUCUUCUUUCCUUCUUCUUUACUUCUUCCACUCUUCUUUCCUUUCUUCUUUCCUUCUUAUACUUUUCUUUUUUUUCCUCUUUCCUUCUUCUUUCCUUUCUUCACUCUUCUUUCUUUUCUUCUUUCCUUCUUCCCUUCUUCUUUCCUUCUUCGACUCUUCUUUCCUUUCUUCUUUCCUUUCUUUACUCUUCUUUCCUUUCUUAUUUCCUUCUUUCACUCUUCUUUCCUUUCUUAUUUCCUUCUUUCACUCUUCUUUCUUUUCUUCUUCCUUUCUUAACUUUUGCAUUUCAUGCACUGGUAUUUCCUUCAGGAAAUGCAUUUUCUAGUUCUUCUUCUUCUUCUUCUUCUUCUUAUUAUUCUCUUUACCGACUUCUGCGCUUAAUUCAGCUUGAACCGCUUAACGUAGAAACUUCGUUCAAACUUUGCUGCAUAGGUCUUCUAAACGACACUUAUGCUAUGUAUUUUUCAUUUGUCUAAACGUUAUACUUUUUAAGAUAUUAAAUAAAAACGAAUACAAAUUUUCCCAUUGACUUACAUUGGGCCAUUAUGACAUCAUAAUAGGGUCAUUAAACUGGCUUGCACCUGUGCUUCACUGACACCUGCGCCAAGGUUCCAAGGCUCCUCUUCUC
This is a long non-coding RNA of Clupea harengus (Atlantic herring), 1217 nucleotides long. Lineage: Eukaryota; Metazoa; Chordata; Actinopteri; Clupeiformes; Clupeidae. The record is from Ensembl.